Molecule: unclassified non-coding RNA, 359 nt
Filed under: uncultured bacterium
Lineage: Bacteria
Description: contains 16S-23S intergenic spacer region
Source: RNAcentral
UCCGGUUUAGACCGGCGGUCUCCCUGGAGAUUUCAACUAAGGACAAGGGUUGCGCUCGUUGCGGGACUUAACCCAACACCUCACGGCACGAGCUGACGACAGCCAUGCAGCACCUGUGCACGGACUCCGAAGAGGAACCGAUGUUUCCACCGGCUUUCCCGCGCAUGUCAAGCCCAGGUAAGGUUCUUCGCGUUGCUUCGAAUUAAACCACAUGCUCCUCCGCUUGUGCGGGCCCCCGUCAAUUCCUUUGAGUUUCAGUCUUGCGACCGUACUCCCCAGGUGGAUUACUUAAUGCUUUCGCUCAGACGCGUACAGUGUAUCGCACACAUCGAGUAAUCAUCGUUUAGGGCAUGGACUAC